GGGGACUCAGCGUAGCUCAGCGGGAGAGCGCUUGACUCACAUUCAAGAGGCCGCUGGUUCGAAACCAGCCGUCCCCACCA
This 80-nucleotide transfer RNA is filed under the name Desulfocucumis palustris. RNAcentral's name for it is "tRNA-Val". The stretch from base 11 to 71 matches the Rfam family "tRNA", at positions 6 to 65 of the family's 71-position model. From Rfam's summary of the family: Transfer RNA (tRNA) molecules are approximately 80 nucleotides in length. Their secondary structure includes four short double-helical elements and three loops (D, anti-codon, and T loops). Further hydrogen bonds mediate the characteristic L-shaped molecular structure. tRNAs have two regions of fundamental functional importance: the anti-codon, which is responsible for specific mRNA codon recognition, and the 3' end, to which the tRNAs corresponding amino acid is attached (by aminoacyl-tRNA synthetases). tRNAs cope with the degeneracy of the genetic code in two manners: having more than one tRNA (with a specific anti-codon) for a particular amino acid; and 'wobble' base-pairing, i.e. permitting non-standard base-pairing at the 3rd anti-codon position. The record is from RNAcentral. Lineage: Bacteria; Bacillati; Bacillota; Clostridia; Eubacteriales; Desulfocucumaceae.